Molecule: ribosomal RNA, 253 nt
Filed under: uncultured bacterium
Lineage: Bacteria
Description: partial 16S ribosomal RNA
Rfam family: Bacterial small subunit ribosomal RNA
Source: RNAcentral
UACGAAGGGGGCUAGCGUUGCUCGGAAUUACUGGGCGUAAAGCGCACGUAGGUGGCGACGUAAGUCGGGUGUGAAAGCCCCGGGCUCAACCUGGGAAUUGCAUUCGAGACUGCAUUGCUGGAGUACGGAAGAGGAAGGCGGAAUUCCCGGUGUAGCGGUGAAAUGCGUAGAUAUCGGGAGGAACAUCAGUGGCGAAGGCAGCUCGCUGGGACGUGACUGACGCUGAGACGCGAAAGCGUGGGGAGCAAACAGG